RNAcentral lists this long non-coding RNA (891 nucleotides) under Ovis aries (sheep). RNAcentral describes it as "lncRNA (ENSOARG00000025736.1)". Lineage: Eukaryota; Metazoa; Chordata; Mammalia; Artiodactyla; Bovidae. The record is from RNAcentral.
GUUUUUAGUCCCCUGCUUUUCAAUCUACAAACUUCACAACUUGGACCUUUGUCCCUUACAUCUUUGGUUCUCCUUUUGGUCACAAUAAAAUGGGGACAAUGGCUUCAGCCUCAGAGUAAGACUGGGGAGAAAGUGGGAUUGCCCAAACAGGGCAAGCUGGACACAGAGAGUUGUCAGAGAACAUCCCAAGCAGGAAGAGUAACACAGGACAAGACGUAGCGGGGACAGUCCUGAUGUGAACGACGCAGGGCUCAGUAGGGUAGAACCGGAGCUUGCCCUGCCUCUUCCUGCUUCCCGUAUCCGUGUCCUUAUGAAGGAAAGAAUCCUAGAAGCUUGGAGCUUCAAGAGGUGGGCUCAUAAAACACGAGUGGCAGGAAGUUGGGUUCAAAUUGUGUUUUUAUGUCAUAACUUCUGCAUGAAAACCAAAGUCUGCAAUCUUAGACAAGAAUAAAAUGUCUCUUGGUUUCAGUUCCCCCACUUGUAAAAUGGAUAAACAGAUGCAUAUGUUUCAUGCAUUAUUCAAUAAGAUAAUGCAUGCUAUGAAUUCAUCAUAAUUGUUGUUCACACAGUGAACAGCACACAAAGGUAACAAGGGAAUGUGGAGAACACUACUUAUGACCACACCACCUCUCUUCCCUCUCAUUUCUCUCUCUGUCUUACAAUGAUAUCAACUACAUGAAAACAGGUUUCCCUCCUUAAAUCUUACCUAUCUAAUGUGGACACCAAAGAUAUACCAUACUAGAGAAGAGGUCGCAUGUUCAUCUCAUAGAAUUAUCCCCCAGCCACCUAGACCCCUCCAUGAUCAAGAGAUAAAUCCUCCCCAUUCCACUCAUCAAUUGCUCACUGCUUUGUUGCCUUCUGUUUGGAGAGACAUAGUAGAUAGACAACGAC